This 444-nucleotide ribosomal RNA is filed under the name Triticum aestivum (bread wheat). Its description in RNAcentral is "partial small subunit ribosomal RNA". The record is from RNAcentral. Lineage: Eukaryota; Viridiplantae; Streptophyta; Magnoliopsida; Poales; Poaceae.
AUGAUAGAUUGUACAGAAACUUGUUGUGGAGCAGGAUGGAACUACCGAUGCCUAAAAAUAAUUGCAACCAUUGUUGGUAUAUUGUACACUUGUACGGAACUGAAAUGUAUCCUCCUUGGGUGUUCCUUCUCGAGGCACGUCUGGUCCGAGAUCCUCUCCUGGAUGCGCAUGACUUGCAGGCCCCCGAGCAACGAGGCUACCCUCUUUGAUUGGUGGCAUGAUGCCCGGCAGGUCACGCCCAAGGCGAUGCGCAAGGGGCUGGCAUCCGCGACACUUCUUACCUCCUGGAUGAUCUGGAAGCAUCGCAACGAUUGCGUCUUCAACGACGCACGCCCUUCCAUCCGGACGCUAGUUCACGGCAUCAAGGAGGAGGCCAAACUUUGGGCUACGGCAGGCGCUGCUGGGCUCAGAGUAGUCUUGCCCCCGACCUGGGACGUGCACUAG